CAGGAUUAGAUACCCUGGUAGUCCACGCCGUAAACGAUGUCGACUUGGAGGUUGUUCCCUUGAGGAGUGGCUUCCGGAGCUAACGCGUUAAGUCGACCGCCUGGGGAGUACGGCCGCAAGGUUAAAACUCAAAUGAAUUGACGGGGGCCCGCACAAGCGGUGGAGCAUGUGGUUUAAUUCGAUGCAACGCGAAGAACCUUACCUACUCUUGACAUCCACGGAAUUUAGCAGAGAUGCUUUAGUGCCUUCGGGAACCGUGAGACAGGUGCUGCAUGGCUGUCGUCAGCUCGUGUUGUGAAAUGUUGGGUUAAGUCCCGCAACGAGCGCAACCCUUAUCCUUUGUUGCCAGCGGUUCGGCCGGGAACUCAAAGGAGACUGCCAGUGAUAAACUGGAGGAAGGUGGGGAUGACGUCAAGUCAUCAUGGCCCUUACGAGUAGGGCUACACACGUGCUACAAUGGCAUAUACAAAGAGAAGCGACCUCGCGAGAGCAAGCGGACCUCAUAAAGUAUGUCGUAGUCCGGAUUGGAGUCUGCAACUCGACUCCAUGAAGUCGGAAUCGCUAGUAAUCGUAGAUCAGAAUGCUACGGUGAAUACGUUCCCGGGCCUUGUACACACCGCCCGUCACACCAUGGGAGUGGGUUGCAAAAGAAGUAGGUAGCUUAACCUUCGGGA
Molecule: ribosomal RNA, 674 nt
Filed under: Kluyvera ascorbata
Lineage: Bacteria; Pseudomonadati; Pseudomonadota; Gammaproteobacteria; Enterobacterales; Enterobacteriaceae
Description: bacterial SSU rRNA
Rfam family: Bacterial small subunit ribosomal RNA
Source: RNAcentral